UCUGGGCUAGUUAAUGUAAGUUAAACAACAGU
RNAcentral lists this non-coding RNA (32 nucleotides) under Rattus norvegicus (Norway rat). The record is from RNAcentral. Lineage: Eukaryota; Metazoa; Chordata; Mammalia; Rodentia; Muridae.